AACUUUCGGCAACGGAUCACUUGGUUCUGGCAUCGAUGAGGAACGCAGCGAAAUGCGAUAAUUAAUGUGAAUUGCAGAAUUUAGUGAAUCAUCGAAUCUUUGAACGCACAUUGCGCCCCUUGGUAUUCCGGGGGGCAUGCCUGUUCGAGCGUCAUUUCACCCCUCAAGCUCUGCUUGGUCUUGGGCCGCGCCGGCAACGGCGGGCCUCAAAAACAGUGGCGGCGCUAUCGUGUCCCUCAGCGUAGUAAUUCUUCUCGCUGUUGGGUACCGGUGGCUGCUUGCCAGCAACCCCUAACUUUCAAAGUUUGACCUCGGAUCAGGUAGGGAUACCCGCUGAACUUAAGCAUAUCAAUAAGCGGAGGCU
RNAcentral lists this unclassified non-coding RNA (364 nucleotides) under uncultured Ascomycota. Its description in RNAcentral is "sequence contains ITS2". The stretch from base 1 to 154 matches the Rfam family "5.8S ribosomal RNA". Lineage: Eukaryota; Fungi; Ascomycota. The record is from RNAcentral.